This 545-nucleotide long non-coding RNA is filed under the name Vombatus ursinus (common wombat). Its description in RNAcentral is "lncRNA (ENSVURG00010020942.1)". Lineage: Eukaryota; Metazoa; Chordata; Mammalia; Diprotodontia; Vombatidae. The record is from RNAcentral.
GGAGAGGAGGAGGAGGGAAGGAGGCUCAGGUCGGGAGGAGGCGCCGGGCACAACCGCACGCCACGGUCGGUGGGCAGCGGGAGCUGCAGGAGACGGGAGCCCCAGGGGAUGAGGGAGCCCGCAGCCCCACCGCCGGGAAACUUUGCCGAUCCGGAGACUCAGGCCUGACAGCCGAACUGACGAACGGACCAACCAGCCAACCUCCGCACCUUCCUCCUUCAAUCUCAAUCCCACUCCACCCCCCUCGCUGCCUUCCCCUCCCAUCGACCUGGAUCGCGCUGUGUCUGACUGAUGGGGCAGCGGGCCACUCGGAAGAGGGGAGUCUGACUGACCGGGUUUUGGAGACUUGAAAUGUAUCAAAGUACUGAAGAUCACACAUCAACAACCAGUAGAGCUGAUCUGACUACUUAUUUGAAUUUUGCUUUCUCUUGUACCUUGCUUCAAACUUACGUAUCUUUCACACUGUGCACUGAAUCAGGUAAGAUAAAGGAAAUACUGUAUAUGUUGCAAUAUUCAAUUUUGAACAAAGUCAAAUAUUUCACACU